Molecule: transfer RNA, 78 nt
Filed under: Streptomyces phage Kela
Lineage: Duplodnaviria; Heunggongvirae; Uroviricota; Caudoviricetes
Description: tRNA-Trp
Rfam family: tRNA
About the family: Transfer RNA (tRNA) molecules are approximately 80 nucleotides in length.
Source: RNAcentral
AGGGAUAUAGCUCAGUCCGGCCAGAGCGGUGGUCUCCAAAACCGCGUCAGCCGCAGGUUCAAAUCCUGCUGUCCCUGC